Long non-coding RNA from Hyalella azteca, 233 nucleotides. RefSeq lists it as uncharacterized. The record is from RefSeq and is a predicted model, not a curated record. NCBI's taxonomy places the organism in Eukaryota, Metazoa, Arthropoda, Malacostraca, Amphipoda, Hyalellidae. The transcript is spliced from 3 exons.
CAAGGCAACGUGGCUGUGGUGGGAGGAAAAUCUCAGCCAACGUGGAUGUGUUGGGAGGAAGAAAGAAUCCUUGGCAUGGCAGUUUGUGGCGAAAACGUGACGGCAGCAAGCGUUGUCAUCUCCACGGCGGUGGAGGAAGAGGAUAUGACACGUCAUGCCAUGUCUAAGUUCCUUAAUUUCUAUGAUCCGAACAAGACCAGCGUUGCCUUCUUCUUCACCUGCAUUGUACGACA